AAGCUGCAAACCAGAUCUACGCAACCAUGGUUGCAAAACAACAAUUCAGUGUCACCAUCACUAACUAUGCAGAGAAACACUCCAUUGCUGCUACUUGGAUCACCAUCUUCACUAAACCUACAGAAUAAUAUUUCAAUGUUGUAAUCCGGAUCAUUAGAAAACAUGCAGGAUAAUAUCUCGUUGUUGCAACCUAGAUCUAUAUUUAGAUGGCUGCAAACUAAGGAUCCUAUACUGCAAUCCAGAGCAAAUGAUAAUUUCAUGUUACAUAAUAACAAUUCAUUGUUGCAGAUGGGUCCUCACUAAACAAUGUUCAAAAUAAUGCUUCAAGGGUGCAAGUUGGAUCAUCAUAUUGGGUACUGUAUAACAAUUUGCUUAUGCAGCUUGGAUCGUCAUUCAAUUGGGUGCAGAAUAAUGUACUAAUGUUUCAACCUAGACCCUCAUUUAAUUUCCAGAAUAACAAUGCAAUGCUGCAAUGCGAGCCAUCACUAGAUGUGCAGGACGAUGAUGUGUUGCUGAUAUAU
RNAcentral lists this long non-coding RNA (521 nucleotides) under Carica papaya (papaya). RNAcentral's name for it is "long non-coding RNA (CPAP_LNC004841)". Lineage: Eukaryota; Viridiplantae; Streptophyta; Magnoliopsida; Brassicales; Caricaceae. The record is from RNAcentral.